AGCAGUCGCCGCGGUAAUACGAGGGGGGCAAGCGUUGUUCGGAAUUAUUGGGCGUAAAGGGUGCGUAGGCGGUUUGACAAGUCUUAUGUGAAAUCUCUGGGCUCAACCCAGAGUCUGCAUGGGAAACUGUCGAGCUUGAGUAUGGGAGAGGUGAGUGGAAUUUCCGGUGUAGCGGUGAAAUGCGUAGAUAUCGGAAGGAACACCUGUGGCGAAAGCGGCUCACUGGACCAUUACUGACGCUGAUGCACGAAAGCUAGGGGAGCAAACAGGAUUAGAUACCCCCGUAGUCCCUGUCUCUUAUAC
This 303-nucleotide ribosomal RNA is filed under the name uncultured bacterium. Its description in RNAcentral is "partial 16S ribosomal RNA". It matches the Rfam family "Bacterial small subunit ribosomal RNA", at positions 507 to 807 of the family's 1533-position model. The record is from RNAcentral.